This is a long non-coding RNA of Parus major (Great Tit), 6442 nucleotides long. RefSeq lists it as uncharacterized. The record is from RefSeq and is a predicted model, not a curated record. The transcript has 3 exons. NCBI's taxonomy places the organism in Eukaryota, Metazoa, Chordata, Aves, Passeriformes, Paridae.
AAUAUUUGAAUUUAAAUAUUUCUAAAAUUACUUGAAUAUUAAUUUAAUUUAAAUAUUUUAUUAUUAUACAGAACAAACUUAAUGAGCUGUGGCACCACUAAUAUGUGGCACUUUUUAAAUCUGGUGAUUUUUGUCAGUUUGGGGAAAGUAUGGAGCUAAGGCAACAUACAAUGAAUAUCCAAUGCUUCAAGACACAGAUUUUCAGUGCCUAGACAAAGCAAGAAUGUCAGAGAAGCAGAAUGAACUCUCAUAAGAGGCUGCUUUGUUACUCCAAAAUUGUCUCAGACCAGAUUAGGUGAUCCAAAGCAUAUUCUAGAUUUGUUUUAAAUAUGAAUGUAAUUUGCUUUAUGAAUCCUACCUUCUUUCAUCCCUCUCUUAUCCUAUCUUUUUAUUUCCCUUAUUUAUCAAUUGAAAAUUUGUUUACAAGGUGCUUAGAGCUGCUAAGAACUUAUGGCUACAAUUUCAAACUGUGCAGCUAUUUCCAAAAUUAUUCUUCAGAAAUAUUUAUAAAAUUAUUCUUGGUACUCUCUACACAUGUAGGAUUUGUGUUUAAAACUCAAACCACAACAACUUUUCUGAUCUAUUAGCCCUAUGAAAAAAUGUGUAUAUAUCCUUUUCUGCCCAUCCCUUUUAUCACUUUGUGUGCUGUGUGCCUGUGCUCAUAAUUAUCCACAGUAUCACACAGGAAAAUACAGCCAUUCCGAUAACUUGGAAUUAUUAAUUGAGAUGCUAUAGAUUUUAACAGUGACCUGUCCUGCAACAGUACUUGAAAAUUCGCUGGAAGCCAGUGGUGACCCUGAGAUGCAGAUCCAUCAGAUAUGACUCAUUAAACAAGGACCUGAAAGGUAUUGUCUGCUUUGGAAACCACAAAAAAGUUAAAUAAGCAACUGAAAAAAAUGUCUACACUUGUAAAAUGGAAAAAGAAUCUUCUCUCCUUUAACUGAUCCAUUAAUAGUUUGAUAGUUGCCAUACUUUUCAGACUCUGGCCUGAGUAACAAAAACAGAUGGAGUCUGUGGGCCACUAAUGCAAUCUCUUUCGAAUUAUUGGCAUUGUGGCUGUCUGAUCUUCUUGUUAAUCUUAAAAUUACAGUAAUGCCCAUGGAUCAGGACCUUACUACCUCAAAACACAGGGCAGUUCCUGUCCUGUUGGACUCACAGCUCGUAUUCCUGACAGGCCAGACACAUAUCAGAAGAUAUGUGUGGAGAUGGGGCCAGCUCUCAUAGAAUAGAGUUUGGAUAAGAUCUCAUCUUGACCCUUGCUCAAUCAGUAGUGAAGAGGAAGACACUAUGGACACCACUGAUGAAUUAAUACAAAAAUGAAAUAUUUAAGCAAAGCUAGUUGAAUAUGGGUUAUUUUGAUGCUAGAAGAAUGCCACAGUAUUCAAAUGAAAGCACAGAAAAUGUGAUUGUGAUAUCACUGGAAGAGUCAAGGAGUCCUCAAAUGUCUCAAUGCAUUAUGAGGUUAAACAGGCAGUGAACACUGGACUGUGAUAGAAUUUAUGUUCAAAGAUUUUAUGUCUGAGUGAAGCUGAGGGAGGUCAAACAAUUUGUGUAAAUGGUCAGUACUUUUUUGAGUGUCUUGCAACAAAAGCAGAAAGGAGGAGGCUGAUGAAGUCAGAAGUCAAGGUCAAAGCUAAUACAGACCAGAGGAACUAGUGCUUUUCUGACUGAAACUGUUGGAGAAGCCUUUGGGGCACUAGAGACAGGUGAAAUAGGAGGUGAGGACAAAGUUACCUCAGCCUGACUUCCACAUAUCUCAUUUGUGGAAAGAAUUUUUUGAGUCCAUCAGUUGAGGAAAAUAAUAUGGAUACUAGAAAUGGGCUCAUGUUUUCUAACUGCUGGAUCUUAUCCAAGCAGCAAGUAAUCAUGGUGACAUUCUGAUUCCCACAGAGAUAAGAGCACCUGUAGUGAACAUCGUGAUCCACUUCAAGUCUGUCUUCCCUGGUGGACUGUGAGAAGCUUGGAGAUACCAGCUUCACUUCUGUAGGAUGAGCCUUAACUCUAUAAUUAGCAAUGUAUGAAUAAAGACUAAAAAAAGUCCAAUAAGAUGUAUAUCCAGAGUAUGUAGGCAAACACAACUGGGUGUAUUUGGUGCAGUGACUAGAGUUUAAGUCUGUAAGAAUUCUCUGCAAUUUUUUUUUCUGAAUAGUUUACCUGUAUAGACAGUUUAAGAAUUAACUUUAUUCCUUAGGCUGAUAUAUGUGCGAAAUCUCUGCUCACAAAGCAGGUGAAAUCCAGCUUACUAGUUCAACAGAGGGACUAGUUCAGUUCUGAAAAGCAGAAUAUAUCCAAUGAGCCAAAGCUUUACAGUCUGAUCCUAUCAGUAACUCCAGGCACUGAUCCUACUUGCAUCUGCCUGUAUUAAUGCAUUCCUGUGUCACAGCCUGCCAUUAACAGGACUCCAAUUUGAAUACAAGCACCUACUUACAAAGAUCAGGUUUCACAACUUGGCUCUCACAGACAAAAAUGUGACAUUCAGUAACAUCAUUAUUCCCUGACACAGGAAAUCAUUAGGAAAAAUCAGUAUUUUGGGCAAAACCUAAUAAAACUAGGUAUUUCUGCCAGUAAAGUGCAGUUCAUUUUUAUUUACAGUGGUAUUAGACACCAUUUGAAGAGUUUAAAAAGCAACUGUUGAUAUUUCCCCAUACAGGAGCAAAUAAUGAAGAAAAAGUUUGAAACUGUAAUCUUGGGUAAAUCAUAGACAAAUGAAAUGAACAGCUGUGGUUAGGGUGGGAUGGGAUUGAUCAUGCUUGCAAAGUUUUAUGAAUGAUACUUUUUUCCUUAAUCAUAACCUUAGGGGUGGGAGGGAUUGAGAACAGGACAUGCCUUAGGGUUGGAAUGUCAAAUUUAACUUUGAAUUUCCUGGAUUUUUAUCAUCAUGCAUGAAAAAGUGUAAUGUUAUUCAAACAUAGCUUCUUUAAUCUUGAUUUUGGUAUAAAAAUAUUUUAUUGUUGAAAUGGAAUGCAAUAAAAUAUGUAUUCUUUACAUAGAAGUCUAGAUUUAUUAAAAAUCUUUAUUACAAUUAUUUAAUUUUACUGUUUGAUUAUUAUGUACUAGUUGCAUUAAUUAAUGUUUUUUUUCUCUUCCACUUCUCACAAUUUGUAAAAUGCAGGGAAAAUGUCAGUCUGAAAGCUAUUUUUAAGUGAAGAUUUUGCUUAUAUACCAACAGAAUAAAUGUAUGUUUGAUGUAGGACCAAGAUUCACCCUUUUCCCUUUUUUUCUAUUUUUUCUGGAAUUUACAGAUUCUUUUAUAGUUCACAGGUGUAUCUCCUGCAACUAGCAAGGGGACUGAACUGAAAGUCAUCUCCAAAAAACAGGUGUCCUUGGCCAAGCUUCUCAACCAUCCAUUGCCUUGCUAGCUUCUGGCUAUGAAAAGGUUUCAAACUAGGUGAAAGGUGUUGCUUACUGCCAACUGAGAUGAGAGAAUCUACCAUUUUGAUAGAAAAAUCUUGGACAAGCUGAGAAAAACUCUCAGACACUGACUGAGAAAACAAGACUAAAUAACUGAGUGAGUCUCUUCUGGAACCUGAACUUUUCAUAUUUUAUCUGCCACCGUUUCCCAUUUUACUUUUCAAGUUUCCUGAGCUGACUGUUUACAGGAAACCACCAAGAAGACAUAGAAGCCAAUUUUGUCCAUCAGCUUAUCCUUUCUGAUUUCAGCUUCACAACUCAGAAAGUGAUGACUGGAACAUCAAGAACCAAUGCAGCCUAAUGCAGCCACUUGUAUGGUCUAAGACCUCUUAUUAGUUUUUCUUUUGGCUAAAUAGGAAUCUUUCUGAUUAAUUGAAAUGCAACGACAUCAUACAAGAAGUGGAAAGAAAACAAAUGAAAAAGCAAAUUUUUAAUAAUUAAUUUCUUUGGUAUUUAGAGAUGAUGUGCAGACCAAUAUCUAGUCUGAGCUAAAGUAGGCAGGGAAAUAAAAGGUGACGGAAUUAGACUCUGAAGUUAGUUGCAAAGUAAAGUUGAGGAAAGAUGUGAGUUUUUUGAGGUAGAAAAGUUACUCAGAAAUAAUACAGAAGAAAUUGAAGUAGAAAUUGAAUUUGUGGGUUUUGUCUUGGUUUUCACAAUCAUUGUCUGAUCUUACACCUCUGCAUUGAUCAAUGUAAUUUGGGGAAGAGGUGGAAACCAAAUAGUGCAGUAGAAACAAGUAACUAUUACUGGCAGAAAUUUAAAGAUAGUGGAGAUGCAUGGCAUUCAUCCAAGGCCACUGGAAGAGCUUGUUUCAGAGAUUGCAAUCUUACAGUCUCUGAAAAAAGUCUGUGGUUAUCAGGGAAAUCCCUUGCAACUAAAAAUGUCUAACACUACAUCUAUCUUUAGGAAAAAUGAAAGGAGGACUUGGGGAGUUUUAGGGCCUAUCAAUCCCUGUAAACACUGUGAAGCAUGGCCCUUUGGAAUCCAUCUUCAAACACUGGAAAGCAAUCAGGAAUAACUAGUUCAGACUUGACCACCUUGAUUGCCUGAUUCAUGAGAUGGCAUGUGGAGCAGAGAGGGGGAAAGCAAUGGAUACCCAGUAAUCAGGAUGGCUUUCGUCACUGUCCCCAAAAGGAUUCUCUCUGAAUCUGAGGAAUUAUGAACUGAAAGAAGAGUUUGUUAAAUGCAUAGCAAAUUGGUUCUUCCACCACUGUGAAAGUGUAGUGGAAUCACUUUUUGAGUUCCAGCUGGUAAUAAGCAAAGUAAAACCCUAUGGUUUGGCACUGGGAUUCAUAUUGUUUAACAUUUCCAUCAAUGGCUUAGAUGGUGACACAGAAUAUGUCCUCAGAUAAACCUGCAGAUGUUACUAAUACAGAAGAGUGAUUGACAUGAAGAGUGGAAAACUUUCAUUCAAAGAAUUAUUGAGAACUGGACCAACAUUAACAACAUGAGGAUCCUGAAUCUGGGUCAGAACAACAUGUUGUAUCCAUGCAGGUUGAUAAAUAACAAGGAUGUGAUGGAAUGUAAAGCAGUACUGUACUGCGAGCUACAAAGAAGGUAGACCAUGUGUUGGACUAUAUUAGGUGGGGCAUGGGAGCAAUGUAGUAACCUGCAGCUACUAGAAGGGGAGGUACAAAGAUGACAAAAACAUCCUCGUUUUGGCAGACAGGCUGUACAACAUUGAAACAGACUGCCCAAAGAUGAUGGGGAAUCUUCAGUUGUGAGAUUGUUAAUUAAUUAAGGCAGGGUAGCACUAAGAUAUAUCUUAUCUGAACUACUGCUAGCUAGCAAAAGUAAACUUUUUGUGGAAGAGACCUCCAAAUAUCCCCUGCAAACAGCAUUUCUUUGAUUCUAAUCCUUGGAAUCUGGAGUUCUGAACCCCAUUGUCUUUGUUCCUUUGAAAGAGCACACUUCUUCUGCACAGCAGUGUAAGGCAUGUCCUCUCGUCCUCGGUUUCUGAAAAAAGUUUUCACAGAAGAUUUUAUUUAGGUUAAAAUAAAAUCUCUUGAAUUUAUUUAUGUUCAUGGCAUCUGAGGAAAUAUACAUGAAAUAUAGCAGUAUAUUUGGAUACUAUAGGUCUGAGCUUUUUGGUGCAAAAAAGGCAAACCACUUAUUUGUGUUCAUAGAUAUCCAUGCAGAAGCAGCACCAUUCACUUCAAAUGUGAUGAGAACUUAUUAAGUCAUAAAAUGAUUUGCUGUUUUAUGGCUUUGGUUCCUCUUUGUAAUGAAGUAUUGAAUUCCUGGGGGCUGUGUUGAAUGCUCACUACACACAUGCAAGCAGCAACAACAAAAUCAAUUAAACUAUUAAUUAUCUAAAAAACUAAUGUGGAAGGUUAGUCUUUUAAUAUCUUAUUUACAAAAGUAUUCAUGCAAACUGAGUGUAAGUUCAAUGUUCAGUUUCUUACCCUGGAAUUUGUUCCUAUUCUGUCAUUUGUAGAGAACAGAGAAAAAACACCUGCAAUGCUACAUUAAAAGAAAACAGCAAAGAAUUGUCUUAAUGAUUAGACAAUAUGUUACUGAAACAUAGAGCAGAAACUCACUAAUUUGUACUGUACAGGCAGAGAUAUUGUGUGUCAUAUAUUUUUCUCUCAACUUCCAUUGUACGGAAUUCCAGACUCAACUGCAGUUUUUACAACAUACAGAGUACUCCACAUGUGUGCAGUUUGGAUUUCACAGGACUGUAAAUAAUUUUAACUGUUUGCAUUGGUUGUUGGUUUUAAUCUUUUAGAUGCACGAACUCUUAAAUUUUUAUCAGGUUUUCAAAAAACUUUGAUACAGGAUAAUGCAUCUUAAAAAAUUGCAUGCCUUUACUGUAAGUCUGAGAAGAAUUUAUAUCCCUAAGGCUUUCCUCUAGGAUAUCUUCUGACAUCAAAAAGGUGAAAUUAGAAAUAGAUUCUAUUUCUUUCAGAUGUCUAUUUAAUUUUUUUUUUUCCUUCCAAACACUGUAAUUUAAUUUUAAAGUUCACUUUGAAAAUAAACAAUAAAUGAACGUGUUUUCAGAGAAAAUGCUUUCUCUUUGCUCAAAAUGAAA